UACGGAAGGCAGCAGUGGGGAAUAUUGCACAAUGGGCGCAAGCCUGAUGCAGCCAUGCCGCGUGUAUGAAGAAGGCCUUCGGGUUGUAAAGUACUUUCAGUCGUGAGGAAGGUGUUAAGGUUAAUAACCUUAGCAAUUGACGUUAGCGACAGAAGAAGCACCGGCUAACUCCGUGCCAGCAGCCGCGGUAAUACGGAGGGUGCGAGCGUUAAUCGGAAUUACUGGGCGUAAAGGGCACGCAGGCGGUUAAUUAAGUUGGAUGUGAAAUCCCCGGGCUUAACCUGGGAAUGGCAUUCAAGACUGGUUAGCUAGAGUCCUGUAGAGGGGGUAGAAUUCCAUGUGUAGCGGUGAAAUGCGUAGAGAUGUGGAGGAAUACCGGUGGCGAAGGCGGCCCCUGGGACAAAGACUGACGCUCAUGUGCGAAAGCGUGGGGAGCAAACAGGGAUUAGAUACC
Molecule: ribosomal RNA, 454 nt
Filed under: uncultured bacterium
Lineage: Bacteria
Description: bacterial SSU rRNA
Rfam family: Bacterial small subunit ribosomal RNA
Source: RNAcentral